UCUUCAAUUCCCUAUUAUCAUAUCAACAGAAAAAAAAAAUGAAGAGGGGUAUAGCAUUAUCCCUUGUAAUGGUUUGUUUGGUUUUAGGGCUUUUGAUUGAACCAAACUUUGCACAGUUCUCACAAAAAUGUUAUGAGAAGUGUUUUCAUGAUUGUGCUUCGGAACCCAAACUCAUUAGAUUUUGUGUAAUUCAAUGUACAUUAGAGUGUGCAAAACAGAGCAAGGUUGACAUCAGCACCGAAUAUAAUCUUGCUUCAGACAAAGUGGAAGCUUGCUUGAAGGCAUGCUCACAGAGUGACAAGAACUGAUCAAUCACCUUACUAAGAGCAAAUACUGAUUAUUGUUGUUAAAUAAUAAUUGCUUUGUUAAAUUUACAAAUAAUGGCAUGAGUAAAAUCUUUAUCUUUAUCUA
This is a long non-coding RNA of Mangifera indica (mango), 411 nucleotides long. RefSeq lists it as uncharacterized. NCBI's taxonomy places the organism in Eukaryota, Viridiplantae, Streptophyta, Magnoliopsida, Sapindales, Anacardiaceae. The transcript has 2 exons. The record is from RefSeq and is a predicted model, not a curated record.